UGGGGGAUAUUGCACAAUGGGCGAAAGCCUGAUGCAGCGACGCCGCGUGGGGGAUGAAGGCCUUCGGGUUGUAAACUUCUUUUGCUCUGAACAAGGCGCACCAUGGGGUGUGUUGAGUGUAGGGGUUGAUUAGCGCCGGCUAACUACGUGCCAGCAGCCGCGGUAAUACGUAGGGCGCGAGCGUUGUCCGGAAUUAUUGGUCGUAAAGGGCUUGUAGGUGGCUGGUUGCGUCUGUCGUGAAAGCUCAUGGCUUAACUGUGGGUUUGCGGUGGGUACGGGCUGGCUUGAGUGCAGUAGGGGAGGCGGGAAUUCCUGGUGUAGCGGUGGAAUGCGCAGAUAUCAGGAGGAAUACCGGUGGCGAAGGCGGGUCUCUGGGCUGUUACUGACACUGAGGAGCGAAAGCAUGGGGAGCGAACAGG
RNAcentral lists this ribosomal RNA (419 nucleotides) under bacterium. RNAcentral describes it as "partial 16S ribosomal RNA". It matches the Rfam family "Bacterial small subunit ribosomal RNA", at positions 355 to 776 of the family's 1533-position model. The record is from RNAcentral.